Oncorhynchus keta (chum salmon) is the source of this 471-nucleotide long non-coding RNA. RefSeq lists it as uncharacterized. The transcript is spliced from 5 exons. NCBI's taxonomy places the organism in Eukaryota, Metazoa, Chordata, Actinopteri, Salmoniformes, Salmonidae. The record is from RefSeq and is a predicted model, not a curated record.
GGGCGUCUCUCACGUCCAUCUUGUUGGCAAAGAACAGCAGGGGGAUCCUCCGGUGCUUUACAUCUACAGAGACAAGGUUAGAAUCAGGGGGUGCUUUACAUCUACAGAGACAAGGUUAGAAUCAGGCGGUGCUUUACAUCUACAGAGACAAGGUUAGAAUCAGGCGGUGCUUUACAUCUACAGAGACAAGGUUAGAAUCAGGCGGUGCUUUACAUCUACAGAGACAAGGUUAGAAUCAGGGGGUGCUUUACAUCUACAGAGACAAGGUUAGAAUCAGGCGGUGCUUUACAUCUACAGAGACAAGGUUAGAAUCAGGGGGUGCUUUACAUCUACAGAGACAAGGUUAGAAUCAGGGGGUGCUUUACAUCUACAGAGACAAGGUUAGAAUCAGGGGGUGCUUUACAUCUACAGAGACAAGGUUAGAAUCAGGCGGUGCUUUACAUCUACAGAGACAAGGUUAGAAUCAGGUGG